Molecule: non-coding RNA, 401 nt
Organism: Schizosaccharomyces pombe (fission yeast)
Lineage: Eukaryota; Fungi; Ascomycota; Schizosaccharomycetes; Schizosaccharomycetales; Schizosaccharomycetaceae
Source: the annotation of a GenBank genome assembly
UAUGAAUAUUUAUUUCAGAACACACAAGGAUACGAACACUAUUAAUGAAAUAGUUAUUUAUAAAUUUAAACACAUCUAUUGCCUUUUUUUUGCUAAGAUAUGGCUUGUUUGUAAAUUCGGAAUUUAAACUAAGCGAUUGUUCAUCUAAAUUAAUUUUAUGGAUUGAAAGUCCCUAUUAUUUUUUAGAUAUUUUUUUUAUAAUUGCUAAAGGUAUAUAGAGUUUAUUGCCUUUAUUUUUUUAUAUUUUUUUAUCAAUCGUUAACGCCAUAGGAAAGCAAGUUAAACUGCUUAAAAAUUUUUUAAUACUUAAAAAUUUUUUGUUAUGGAAUAAACUUUUUUUUUUUUAUACUUUUAAUUUUCACUGAUUUCAUUAAAUAUUUACCGGCAGCCGUUAGAAUUAU